RNAcentral lists this ribosomal RNA (250 nucleotides) under uncultured haloarchaeon. Its description in RNAcentral is "partial 16S ribosomal RNA". It matches the Rfam family "Archaeal small subunit ribosomal RNA", at positions 1027 to 1276 of the family's 1478-position model. The record is from RNAcentral. Lineage: Archaea; Methanobacteriati; Methanobacteriota; Halobacteria; Halobacteriales; Halobacteriaceae.
UUUUUAUUCAGGCAACGAGCGGAACCCCCCCUCCUAAUUCCCAGCACCACCCCCUGGUGGAUGGGUACAUUAGGAGGACUGCCGUUGCCAAAACGGAGGAAGGAACGGGCAACGGUAGGUCAGUAUGCCCCGAAUGUGCUGGGCUACACGCGGGCUACAAUGGCCGGGACAAUGGGUUCCCACCUCGAAAGAGGACGGUAAUCUCCGAAACUCGGUCGUAGUUCGGAUUGAGGGCUGAAACUCGCCCUCA